This 77-nucleotide transfer RNA is filed under the name Oscillospiraceae bacterium. Its description in RNAcentral is "tRNA-Val". It matches the Rfam family "tRNA". Rfam says of the family: Transfer RNA (tRNA) molecules are approximately 80 nucleotides in length. Their secondary structure includes four short double-helical elements and three loops (D, anti-codon, and T loops). Further hydrogen bonds mediate the characteristic L-shaped molecular structure. tRNAs have two regions of fundamental functional importance: the anti-codon, which is responsible for specific mRNA codon recognition, and the 3' end, to which the tRNAs corresponding amino acid is attached (by aminoacyl-tRNA synthetases). tRNAs cope with the degeneracy of the genetic code in two manners: having more than one tRNA (with a specific anti-codon) for a particular amino acid; and 'wobble' base-pairing, i.e. permitting non-standard base-pairing at the 3rd anti-codon position. The record is from RNAcentral. Lineage: Bacteria; Bacillati; Bacillota; Clostridia; Eubacteriales; Oscillospiraceae.
GGAUGCGUAGCUCAGCUGGUUAGAGUGCCUGCUUCACACGCAGGAGGUCCGCGGUUCGAGCCCGCGCGUAUCCACCA